Long non-coding RNA from Chelonia mydas (Green sea turtle), 2080 nucleotides. RefSeq lists it as uncharacterized. The transcript has 3 exons. NCBI's taxonomy places the organism in Eukaryota, Metazoa, Chordata, Testudines, Cheloniidae. The record is from RefSeq and is a predicted model, not a curated record.
UGACCGCCCUGUAAAUAGGGUGUAAGGUCUUCUCCCUCUCCCUCUUAAGCCCGUGGAGCCUUUCCGUGCCUGUGGCUGAGGGACCCCCUUUUAAGAAGGGUUGAGCGUCUCUUUUCUCUUUGUCCUCGUAAACUGCCCUAGAAAUGAUUUCGACUUGGCUUUUUUGAAAUUUGCAGUCAAAUCCUAUUUGUGACCGCUUGAAUUGAAGCCGGGGUCCGAUGAAACAUGGUGUGGCGAAGGGGCGGCUGUAAGGGGAUGGUGGAGGCCGUGAUAAAUUCGACCCUUUUUUGAAAAAAGCCAAGAAACCCCCCAAAACAAUCCAAAUCUUUCCAGGUCUGGAAAUGAACAGGUGAGGUGCGGGGCUCCUUUCAGCUCCUCACUUCCACGUAAUCCUUCCUCAUCUCCUCUUGCCUUGCCCAAUUGACACUGUCCCACCAACCUCAGCUUUGACCCUCUGUUUCCUGCGCAGAAUAAAACAUACUGCUGGCUGUAGUAGUGUUCCUUGUCUUGAUUGGGAAAGGUCCCUACGUGGUGUCCCAAUUCCAGGCCUUUGGUCUCUUUGCUGGUAGAGUGAGGCUAUAUUUUUGGACUGUCUUUGAGGUGAUUGAAAGAGCUGUCCUUCCUGACAGCUCUUUGGUGAUCUGGUGGCAUAGGUACACGUGUCGUGGUGUUAGAUCUUGCACGUGGGUGCACCUAACCCUACUAACAGGACUGAGUAAGAAGUAAGGGAUGUCUGUUUUGGAAAAGGGCAGGGGGUUCAAAGUUGGAAUGUUCUUGGUGGGGUAGACAGGUAAGUCGGGAAGGGUGUUGGUGUGGGAUGGAGGAUUCCUUGGUCAUGGGAGGUUCCCUUACCUGUUCAUUUCCAGACCUUUUCACGUCUGUGACUCCUUUCCCCUUCUUUCAAGGAAGUAGGAUUUUUGUGAAGGAAGGGUGACCGCCCUGUAAUCGGGGUUCGGGUCGCUUUCCUUUCCCCCUCUUGGCAUUGGCCCUCUUCAUGCCAAAGUGAGCUCCCUGUAACUAGGGUGUGCAACUUUCCCAAGCUUACUCGCCCAUUUGAAAGCUAGUUAUAGAAAGCAGCCUCUUUGGAGAGUUAGGGGUUUGUCCUUCUAGCUCUCCUGUCGCCGUGCCCUACUCACACGCACAACCAAGUCCAAACCGAGCGAACUCUGCAUCCCGCUGGCCCUGACUGCUGCUGCUGCUGCAAGGUUUCCUGCUCUACGCCACAGCAACUCAGAAGAGAAAACGGAGAAGAGGACAGAAGUACCAAAGAAACGGCAGGAAAAGACAAUGGAAGCAGAAGCCACAGAAAAGGGACACACACCUUGCAUGCAUGGGCCUCCCUGCAAUGAGGACACGGGAUUUCCACUUAAGCUUCAUUCCCCCUUGAGGUGCCAGGUAAAAGGACCUCCCUGUAAACGGGGAUCAAGGUCCACCCCUUCCCAGCAAAAAGGCUUGAGGUGUCCGUUUGGUAGCUAAGGCUGAGGGACCCCCCUUUAAGAAGGGUAGCGGUCUCUCUGUGCCUUUCAGCUCUUUAGGAGCUAGGCUUUGAAAUGCCCUGUGCCGUUGACCUCUCCCUGUAAGAAGGGUUCAGGUCUCCCCUUUCUAGACUGUUCUGGGCCGCUGGCACUUGCUGGGCAAAGAGACCACCCUCUCCUGAGGGAAUGGAGGUCUCUCCUUUUCACCGCUUUAGCCUCUGGCCCGUUGUAAUGCCCCUGGCUUGAGGACCACCCUGUAAGGAGGGUUUGGGUCUCCUUUGCCAUGCUGCUUUCGCCACAGGUCACUUGGACAUGCCAGGCAAAAUGACCGCCCUGUAAAUAGGGUGUAAGGUCUUCUCCCUCUCCCUCUUAAGCCCGUGGGGCCUUUCCGUGCCUGUGGCUGAGGGACCCCCUUUUAAGAAGGGUUGAGCGUCUCUUUUCUCUUUGUCCUCGUAAACUGCCCUAGAAAUGAUUUCGACUUGGCUUUUUUGAAAUUUGCAGUCAAAUCCUAUUUGUGACCGCUUGAAUUGAAGCCGGGGUCCGAUGAAACAUGGUGUGGCGAAGGGGCGGCUGUAAGGGGAUGGUGGAGGCCGUGAUAAAUUCGA